GAUGAACGCUGGCGGCGUGCCUAAUACAUGCAAGUCGAGCGAACGGACGAGAAGCUUGCUUCUCUGAUGUUAGCGGCGGACGGGUGAGUAACACGUGGAUAACCUACCUAUAAGACUGGGAUAACUUCGGGAAACCGGAGCUAAUACCGGAUGAUAUUUUGAACCGCAUGGUUCAAAAGUGAAAGACGGUCUUGCUGUCACUUAUAGAUGGAUCCGCGCUGCAUUGGCUAGUUGGUAAGGUAACGGCUUACCAAGGCAACGAUGCAUAGCCGACCUGAGAGGGUGAUCGGCCACACUGGAUCUGAGACACGGUCCAGACUCCUACGGGAGGCAGCAGUAGGGAAUCUUCCGCAAUGGGCGAAAGCCUGACGGAGCAACGCCGCGUGAGUGAUGAAGGUCUUCGGAUCGUAAAACUCUGUUAUUAGGGAAGAACAUAUGUGUAAGUAACUGUGCACAUCUUGACGGUACCUAAUCAGAAAGCCACGGCUAACAACGUG
Molecule: ribosomal RNA, 497 nt
Filed under: uncultured bacterium
Lineage: Bacteria
Description: partial 16S ribosomal RNA
Rfam family: Bacterial small subunit ribosomal RNA
Source: RNAcentral